This 496-nucleotide ribosomal RNA is filed under the name uncultured bacterium. RNAcentral describes it as "partial 16S ribosomal RNA". It matches the Rfam family "Bacterial small subunit ribosomal RNA", at positions 28 to 507 of the family's 1533-position model. The record is from RNAcentral.
GAUGAACGCUGGCGGCGUGCCUAAUACAUGCAAGUCGAGCGAACGGACGAGAAGCUUGCUUCUCUGAUGUUAGCGGCGGAAGGGUGAGUAACACGUGGAUAACCUACCUAUAAGACUGGGAUAACUUCGGGAAACCGGAGCUAAUACCGGAUAAUAUUUUGAACCGCAUGGUUCAAAAGUGAAAGACGGUCUUGCUGUCACUUAUAGAUGGAUCCGCGCUGCAUUAGCUAGUUGGUAAGGUAACGGCUUACCAAGGAAACGAUGUAUAGCCGACCUGGGAGGGGGACGGGCCACCCGGAACCUGAGACCGGUCCCAGCUCCUACGGGGGGCAGACGGAGGGAAUUUUCCCAAAUGGGGGAAAGCCGUACGGGGGAAGCCCCGGUGGGGGAUGGAGGUUUUCGGUUCGUAAAACCUUUUUAUUAGGGAAGAACAUAUGUGUAAGUAACUGUGCACAUCUUGACGGUACCUAAUCAGAAAGCCACGGCUAACUACGUG